ACGGCCGCAAGGUUAAAACUCAAAUGAAUUGACGGGGGCCCGCACAAGCGGUGGAGCAUGUGGUUUAAUUCGAUGCAACGCGAAGAACCUUACCUGGUCUUGACAUCCACGGAAGUUUUCAGAGAUGAGAAUGUGCCUUCGGGAACCGUGAGACAGGUGCUGCAUGGCUGUCGUCAGCUCGUGUUGUGAAAUGUUGGGUUAAGUCCCGCAACGAGCGCAACCCUUAUCCUUUGUUGCCAGCGGUCCGGCCGGGAACUCAAAGGAGACUGCCAGUGAUAAACUGGAGGAAGGUGGGGAUGACGUCAAGUCAUCAUGGCCCUUACGACCAGGGCUACACACGUGCUACAAUGGCGCAUACAAAGAGAAGCGACCUCGCGAGAGCAAGCGGACCUCAUAAAGUGCGUCGUAGUCCGGAUUGGAGUCUGCAACUCGACUCCAUGAAGUCGGAAUCGCUAGUAAUCGUGGAUCAGAAUGCCACGGUGAAUACGUUCCCGGGCCUUGUACACACCGCCCGUCACACCAUGGGAGUGGGUUGCAAAAGAAGUAGGUA
RNAcentral lists this ribosomal RNA (550 nucleotides) under Escherichia coli. Its description in RNAcentral is "bacterial SSU rRNA". It matches the Rfam family "Bacterial small subunit ribosomal RNA", at positions 882 to 1432 of the family's 1533-position model. Lineage: Bacteria; Pseudomonadati; Pseudomonadota; Gammaproteobacteria; Enterobacterales; Enterobacteriaceae. RNAcentral also lists the same sequence under 1 other name. The record is from RNAcentral.